Molecule: ribosomal RNA, 989 nt
Filed under: Baeomyces placophyllus
Lineage: Eukaryota; Fungi; Ascomycota; Lecanoromycetes; Baeomycetales; Baeomycetaceae
Description: SSU rRNA
Rfam family: Eukaryotic small subunit ribosomal RNA
Source: RNAcentral
UAUACGGUGAAACUGCGAAUGGCUCAUUAAAUCAGUUAUCGUUUAUUUGAUAGUACCUUACUACAUGGAUAACCGUGGUAAUUCUAGAGCUAAUACAUGCUAAAAACCUCGACUUCGGAAGGGGUGUAUUUAUUAGAUAAAAAACCAAUGCCCUUCGGGGCUCCUUGGUGAUUCAUAAUAACUCAACGAAUCGCAUGGCCUUGCGCCGGCGAUGGUUCAUUCAAAUUUCUGCCCUAUCAACUUUCGAUGGUAGGAUAGUGGCCUACCAUGGUUUUAACGGGUAACGGGGAAUUAGGGUUCUAUUCCGGAGAGGGAGCCUGAGAAACGGCUACCACAUCCAAGGAAGGCAGCAGGCGCGCAAAUUACCCAAUCCCAACACGGGGAGGUAGUGACAAUAAAUACUGAUGUGGAGCUCUUUAGGGUUUCACAAUUGGAAUGAGUACAAUUUAAAUCCCUUAACGAGGAACAAUUGGAGGGCAAGUCUGGUGCCAGCAGCCGCGGUAAUUCCAGCUCCAAUAGCGUAUAUUAAAGUUGUUGCAGUUAAAAAGCUCGUAGUUGAACCUUGGGCCUGGCUGACCGGUCCGCCUCACCGCGAGCACUGGUUCGGCCGGGCCUUUCCUUCUGGGGAGCCGCAUGCCCUUCACUGGGUGUGUCGGGGAACCAGGACUUUUACUUUGAAAAAAUUAGAGUGUUCAAAGCAGGCCUAUGCUCGAAUACAUUAGCAUGGAAUAAUAGAAUAGGACGUGCGGUUCUAUUUUGUUGGUUUCUAGGACCGCCGUAAUGAUUAAUAGGGAUAGUCGGGGGCAUCAGUAUUCAAUUGUCAGAGGUGAAAUUCUUGGAUUUAUUGAAGACUAACUACUGCGAAAGCAUUUGCCAAGGAUGUUUUCAUUAAUCAGUGAACGAAAGUUAGGGGAUCGAAGACAAUCAGAUACCGUCGUAGUCUUAACCUUAAACUAUGCCGACUAGGGAUCGGACGGUGUUAUCAUUUU